RNAcentral lists this ribosomal RNA (1331 nucleotides) under Chouioia cunea. RNAcentral's name for it is "16S ribosomal RNA". Lineage: Eukaryota; Metazoa; Arthropoda; Insecta; Hymenoptera; Eulophidae. The record is from RNAcentral.
AUAUAUAUUAAUUUUAUUCAUUAUUUAAUAUAAUAUAUUAAUAUAAAGUCCUUUCGUACAAAAAUAUAAAAUUUAUAAAAAGAUAGAAUCCGAUCUGGCUCACGCCGAUCUAAACUCAAAUCAUGUAAGAUUUUAAUAGUCGAACAGACUAAAAUAAUUUUUAUUUCUUCAUAAAAUUUAUAUCUUAAUUCAACAUCGAGGUCGCAAUCAUCUUUUUCAAUAAGAACUCUCUAAAGAUAUAACGCUGUUAUCCCUAAGGUAAUUUAAUUUAAAUUCAAUAAUAUUGGAUAUUUAAUUCAUUUAUUAAUGUUUAAUAAAUUUAAAAAUUAAUUAAAUUUUAAGAUUACCCCAAUCAAAUAAUUUAAAUUUAUAAUAUUAAUAUUUAUAAUCUUAUAAAUUAUAUUUAUAAAAUUCUAUAGGGUCUUCUCGUCUUUUUUAAAUAUUUAAGCCUUUUUACUUAAUUAUUAAAUUUAAUUUAAUUUAAAUUUAAAAAGAUUUUAUUUCAUAAUAUCAUUCAUUCCAGACUUCAUUAAAAAGCCAAAUGAUUAUGCUACCUUUGUACAGUCAAAAUACUGCAGCUAUUUAAAUUAUCAUUGAGCAGAUUUGAUUUAAAAUUAUAAUCUAUAAACAAUGUUUUUAAUAAACAGUUGAAUAAAAUUUUUGCCGAAUUCUUUAAUUUAAUUUUAAAAUAUUUUAAUUAUUUAUAUAACAUAUAUAUAUAUAUAUAUAUAUAUAUAUUAAUUAAUUUACUAAUUACAUCAUUAUUUUAAUAAUUUAUUUUAUUUAAUUAUUUAAUUUUAUAAAUUUUUAAAUAUUUAAUUAAAUUAAAUUUAUUAAUUUAUUAAUUAUAACAAAUUAUUUAAUAAUAAAAAUUUUAAAUUUUAUAUAAAUAAUAUGAAAUAGCUUAUAUUAAUAUUAUUAUUAAAUUUAUUUCUAAUAAUAUUUAAUAAAAUAUUAAUAAUAUUUUUUAAUAAAUAUUAUUAAUUAAUUUUAUUAUAAAUUAAAUUUAUUUAUAAAAUAACUAGAUAUUAAAAUUUGAAAAGAAUUUUUCUUCUAUAAUAAUAUUUAUUAUAUUAAUGGAAUAAUAAUAAUAAUAUUAAUAUAAAUCAUUUUAUUUCGAGAAAUAAAUAAUAUAUUUAUUAUUUUAAUGUACCCUGAUACAAAAGGUAUAAAUUAAUUAAAUUUAAUUUUUAUUUUAAAAAAAAUUUCUUUAACAAUACUAUUAUUAAAAAUUUUAAAUAUAAUUUAAUUUAAUUACUAAAUAAAUAAUAUUUUAUUAAAUAAUUUUAUUAAUUAAUUUUAAUCAAUAUAAUUUUAUUUUAUUUAUUUAA